GAUGAAGAACGUAGCGAAAUGCGAUAAAUAAUGUGAAUUGCAGAAUUCAGUGAAUCAUCGAAUCUUUGAACGCACAUUGCGCCCGCUAGUAUUCUGGCGGGCAUGCCUGUCCGAGCGUCAUUUCAACCCUCAAGCCCCCGGGCUUGGUGUUGGGGAUCGGCGAGCCUCCGCGCCCGCCGUCCCCUAAAUCUAGUGGCGGUCUCGCUGUAGCUUCCUCUGCGUAGUAGCACACCUCGCACUGGGAAACAGCGCGGCCACGCCGUUAAACCCCCAACUUCUGAACGUUUGACCUCGGAUCAGGUAGGAAUACCCGCUGAACUUAAGCAUAUCAAUAAGCGGAGGA
RNAcentral lists this unclassified non-coding RNA (343 nucleotides) under soil metagenome. RNAcentral's name for it is "partial contains 5.8S ribosomal RNA, internal transcribed spacer 2, and large subunit ribosomal RNA". The stretch from base 1 to 120 matches the Rfam family "5.8S ribosomal RNA", at positions 35 to 154 of the family's 154-position model. The record is from RNAcentral.